GAUGAAGAACGUAGCGAAAUGCGAUAAGUAAUGUGAAUUGCAGAAUUCAGUGAACCAUCGAAUCUUUGAACGCACAUUGCGCCCGGCAGUAAUCUGCCGGGCAUGCCUGUCCGAGCGUCAUUUCUACCCGCGAGCGAGUCCAGCAUCUAGGUGCUGGGCCUCGCCCGGCGUUGGAGCACUACGGGAAGCCCUGUGCUGUCCCCCGUAGGCCCCGAAAUGAAGUGGCGGUCCUGCCGCGGCGCCCCCUUCGUAGUAUAACAGCUCGCUUCGGGACCCGGUGGAGGCCUGCCGUCAAACCUAUACUCUCUAAGUUUGACCUCGGAUCAGGUAGGGUUACCCGCUGAACUUAAGCAUAUCAAUAAGCGGAGGA
This 370-nucleotide unclassified non-coding RNA is filed under the name soil metagenome. RNAcentral's name for it is "partial contains 5.8S ribosomal RNA, internal transcribed spacer 2, and large subunit ribosomal RNA". The stretch from base 1 to 120 matches the Rfam family "5.8S ribosomal RNA", at positions 35 to 154 of the family's 154-position model. The record is from RNAcentral.